AGAGCGAACGCUGGCGGCAGGCUUAACACAUGCAAGUCGAACGGAUCCUUCGGGAUUAGUGGCGGACGGGUGAGUAACACGUGGGAACGUGCCUUUUGGUUCGGAACAACUCAGGGAAACUUGAGCUAAUACCGGAUGUGCCCUUCGGGGGAAAGAUUUAUCGCCAUUAGAGCGGCCCGCGUCUGAUUAGCUAGUUGGUGAGGUAAAGGCCCACCAAGGCUACGAUCAGUAGCUGGUCUGAGAGGAUGACCAGCCACAUUGGGACUGAGACACGGCCCAAACUCCUACGGGAGGCAGCAGUGGGGAAUCUUGCGCAAUGGGCGAAAGCCUGACGCAGCCAUGCCGCGUGAAUGAUGAAGGUCUUAGGAUUGUAAAAUUCUUUCAGCGGGGAAGAUAAUGACUGUACCCGCAGAAGAAGCUCCGGCUAACUUCGCGCCAGCAGCCGC
Molecule: ribosomal RNA, 446 nt
Filed under: uncultured bacterium
Lineage: Bacteria
Description: SSU rRNA
Rfam family: Bacterial small subunit ribosomal RNA
Source: RNAcentral